This 253-nucleotide ribosomal RNA is filed under the name uncultured bacterium. RNAcentral describes it as "partial 16S ribosomal RNA". It matches the Rfam family "Bacterial small subunit ribosomal RNA", at positions 524 to 776 of the family's 1533-position model. The record is from RNAcentral.
UACAGAGGGUGCGAGCGUUAAUCGGAAUUACUGGGCGUAAAGCGUGCGUAGACGGUUAUUUAAGUCGGAUGUGAAAGCCCCGGGCUCAACCUGGGAAUUGCAUUCGAGACUGAAUAGCUAGGGUGCGGUAGAGGGAAGCGGAAUUUCCGGUGUAGCGGUGAAAUGCGUAGAUAUCGAGAGGAACACCUGCGGCGAAGGCGGGUUGCUGGGCCGACACUGACGCUGAGGCGCGAAAGCCAGGGGAGCGAACGGG